UCCGUAGGCGGGCGUCUAAGUCAGUGGUGAAAUCUUACAGCUCAACUGUAAAAUUGCCAUUGAUACUGGAUGUCUUGAAUUAGUGCGAAGUGGUUAGAAUGUGUAGUGUAGCGGUGAAAUGCAUAGAUAUUACACAGAAUACCAAUUGCGAAGGCAGAUCACUAACACUAUAUUGACGCUGAGGGACGAAAGCGUGGGGAGCGAACAGGAUUAGAUACCCUGGUAGUCC
This 229-nucleotide ribosomal RNA is filed under the name uncultured bacterium. RNAcentral's name for it is "partial 16S ribosomal RNA". It matches the Rfam family "Bacterial small subunit ribosomal RNA", at positions 568 to 796 of the family's 1533-position model. The record is from RNAcentral.